RNAcentral lists this ribosomal RNA (253 nucleotides) under uncultured bacterium. RNAcentral's name for it is "partial 16S ribosomal RNA". It matches the Rfam family "Bacterial small subunit ribosomal RNA", at positions 524 to 776 of the family's 1533-position model. The record is from RNAcentral.
CACGUAGGGCGCAAGCGUUGUCCGGAAUUAUUGGGCGUAAAGAGCUCGUAGGUGGUUUGUUACGUCUGCUGUGAAAACCUAGGGCUUAACCCUGGGCUUGCAGUGGAUACGGGCAGACUAGAGGUAGGUAGGGGAGAAUGGAAUUCCUGGUGUAGCGGUGAAAUGCGCAGAUAUCAGGAGGAACACCGGUGGCGAAGGCGACUACCUGGACCAGCACUGACACUGAGGCACGAAAGCGUGGGGAGCAAACAGG